GGAAGGAUCAUUAACACGUUCAUUUACUUGAGCGUCUACCCUUUCCAUAUCAUUACUAACUGUGCACUGGUUUUCAACCUCCACACUCUGACCCAGAGGAGACUCUGUGUCGGCUGUGUGUAUGUGUGGCGGUUUCUUCAGAUCCCGCCGCGUACUAAUUUCAUUCACGAUCUUCACACCCAUCCAUAUCUCAAUUGACUUGGUUGACUGAUGGUCUGACGAUUGCAAUCGCGAUCGUCCUCCGUCUGUUGAUGCUAUACUUUAUACAUCAAUAUACUAGUACAACUCUAAGCGAUGGAUAUCUAGGUUCUCGCAACGAUGAAGAACGCAGCGAAAUGCGAUACGUAAUGCGAAUUGCAGGAUUCAGCGAAUCAUCAAAUCUUUGAACGCAAAUUGCGCUCUUGGGUAGGCCUAGGAGCACGCCUCUCUCAGUAUCGGUUCAACACACCCCUCAAUGUGCAUUGCAAUUGUGAUGUGCCAUUGGAGAAUGAGAGUCGAACUCACCGUUCGUCUCUUCAAGUACAUGGAAGACCAGAAAUCACCGCCUUUUCUUUCCGACUCGGCUGUGACAAGAGUAUCGAUCUCGCACACUUGUUGUCGAUAUCAAAUCUGAGUGACGUACAGAAGUCGCCGACGAACAAACAUUCGUGUUUGUUCCGUCCUAUCGCCUCCACGUGUAUCUCAGCUUCGACCAAGUGCUUUGCUUAGGAUCUCAUAUACUGCUCGUUCUGUUUGUCUGCCCCAUCCGGUGUCGCGCUAGCACGCACACCAACGUUGCGUCUGUGGCUGUCCAUCGACAGCUUCAUGAAGCUUCUCAACCUCUGAUCUGAGAUGAAGUGAGACAACCCCCUGAAUUUAAGCAUAUUAAUAAGGGGAGGAAAAGAAAAUAACAAUGAUGCCCCUAGUAACGGCGAGUGAAGCGGGCGGAGCUCAAUGUGAGAAUCGACGAGCCAAACGGGUCGUCGAAUUGUAGCCUAGAGACGUACCAUCAGCGAAGACGAAGAUAGAAGUUCUUUGGAAUGAGAUGCGCUACAGGGUGAGAGCCCCGUGUUCGAUCUUUUUGUUGCUUCGCGUACGAUGUAUGUUCUUCGAGUCGAGUAGUUUGGGAUUGCUGCUCUAAAUGGGAGGUAAGUUUCUUCUAAAGCUAAAUAUUGGCGAGAGACCGAUAGCGAACAAGUACCGUGAGGGAAAGAUGAAAAGAACUUUGAAAAGAGAGUCAAAAGUACUUGAAAUCGCUCAGAGGGAAGCGCUCAACACUAGUGAGUUUGGCGUAUGCAUCGCGGUGUGCCCCGCUGGUGCCGAACGUUCGUUGGUUAACUCGAUGCGUUCGUCACGACACGGAGGUAUGCCGUUCAGCAUGCGUCAUCAGUCAAGAUUCAUUCGGCAACUGUGGGAGAAGGCGGUGAGAAAGGUAGGAGAGCAAUCUCUGUUAUAGUCUCAUCGUUCUACCUCGAGCUGGAUGGAGGAAGAAAGUAGUGCGCCGCUUGCGGCUUCGUCGAUAGGCGCUCGUGGGCGUGUAUGUGGUCAUCGCAAUGCUAUGUCUAUGUGCACGUCUCCGACUCGUCUGUCUGAUGCUAUGUGCUACACCGAUCUUGUACGAAAUGGUGUUGAUCGACCCGUCUUGAAACACGGACCAAGGAGUCUAACAUUCCUGCGAGUAGUCGAGUGAAAAACUCGCUCUGCAUAAUGAAAGUAAAGGUAGCCUUGUGCUGCUGUGGUAGGAAUCCGGUCAAACGGAGGCACUAUCGACCGAUCGUCACUUGUGACAGAUUUGAGUAAGAGCAUGACUGUUGGGACCCGAAAGAUGGUGAUCUAUGCCUGAACAGGGUGAAGCCAGGAGAAAUUCUGGUGGAGGCUCGUAGCGAUACUGACGUGCAAAUCGUUCGUCUGAUUUGGGUAUAGGGGCGAAAGACUAAUCGAACCAUCUAGUAGCUGGUUCCCUC
RNAcentral lists this unclassified non-coding RNA (1943 nucleotides) under uncultured fungus. Its description in RNAcentral is "sequence contains 18S rRNA gene, ITS1, 5.8S rRNA gene, ITS2, 28S rRNA gene". The stretch from base 823 to 1943 matches the Rfam family "Eukaryotic large subunit ribosomal RNA", at positions 1 to 961 of the family's 3401-position model. Lineage: Eukaryota; Fungi. The record is from RNAcentral.